GAUGAACGCUGGCGGCGUGCUUAACACAUGCAAGUCGAGCGGUAGAGAGAAGCUUGCUUCUCUUGAGAGCGGCGGACGGGUGAGUAAUGCCUAGGAAUCUGCCUGGUAGUGGGGGAUAACGUUCGGAAACGGACGCUAAUACCGCAUACGUCCUACGGGAGAAAGCAGGGGACCUUCGGGCCUUGCGCUAUCAGAUGAGCCUAGGUCGGAUUAGCUAGUUGGUGAGGUAAUGGCUCACCAAGGCGACGAUCCGUAACUGGUCUGAGAGGAUGAUCAGUCACACUGGAACUGAGACACGGUCCAGACUCCUACGGGAGGCAG
This 321-nucleotide ribosomal RNA is filed under the name uncultured Pseudomonadota bacterium. Its description in RNAcentral is "bacterial SSU rRNA". It matches the Rfam family "Bacterial small subunit ribosomal RNA", at positions 28 to 351 of the family's 1533-position model. Lineage: Bacteria; Pseudomonadati; Pseudomonadota. The record is from RNAcentral.